ACCAGACUCCUACGGGAGGCAGCAGUGGGGGAUAUUGCACAAUGGGGGAAACCCUGAUGCAGCGACGCCGCGUGAGUGAAGAAGUAUUUCGGUAUGUAAAGCUCUAUCAGCAGGGAAGAAGAAAGACGGUACCUGAGUAAGAAGCCCCGGCUAACUACGUGCCAGCAGCCGCGGUAAUACGUAGGGGGCAAGCGUUAUCCGGAUUUACUGGGUGUAAAGGGAGCGUAGACGGUAUGGCAAGUCUGAAGUGAAAGCCCCGGGCUCAACCUGGGAACUGCUUUGGAAACUGUUAAACUAGAGUGCUGGAGAGGCAGGCGGAAUUCCUAGUGUAGCGGUGAAAUGCGUAGAUAUUAGGAGGAACACCAGUGGCGAAGGCGGCCUGCUGGACAGUAACUGACGUUGAGGCUCGAAGGCGUGGGGAGCAAACAGGAUUAGAUACCCCCGUAA
Molecule: ribosomal RNA, 447 nt
Filed under: uncultured bacterium
Lineage: Bacteria
Description: bacterial SSU rRNA
Rfam family: Bacterial small subunit ribosomal RNA
Source: RNAcentral